AUACUGGUAGUAUAACCUUGUACAGUUGCCUUCCAAGCAAAAAGACCUAAUGGUCAGUAUA
RNAcentral lists this transfer RNA (61 nucleotides) under Nodularia douglasiae. RNAcentral's name for it is "tRNA-Gly". The record is from RNAcentral. Lineage: Eukaryota; Metazoa; Mollusca; Bivalvia; Unionida; Unionidae.